This 492-nucleotide ribosomal RNA is filed under the name uncultured bacterium. RNAcentral's name for it is "partial 16S ribosomal RNA". It matches the Rfam family "Bacterial small subunit ribosomal RNA", at positions 29 to 507 of the family's 1533-position model. The record is from RNAcentral.
AGUGAACGCUGGCGGUAGGCCUAACACAUGCAAGUCGAACGGCAGCACAGUAAGAGCUUGCUCUUACGGGUGGCGAGUGGCGGACGGGUGAGGAAUACAUCGGAAUCUACUUUUUCGUGGGGGAUAACGUAGGGAAACUUACGCUAAUACCGCAUACGACCUACGGGUGAAAGCAGGGGAUCUUCGGACCUUGCGCGAUUGAAUGAGCCGAUGUCGGAUUAGCUAGUUGGCGGGGUAAAGGCCCACCAAGGCGACGAUCCGUAGCUGGUCUGAGAGGAUGAUCAGCCACACUGGAACUGAGACACGGUCCAGACUCCUACGGGAGGCAGCAGUGGGGAAUAUUGGACAAAGGGCGCAAGCCUGAUCCAGCCAUACCGCAUGGGUGAAGAAGGCCUUCGGGUUGUAAAGCCCUUUUGUUGGGAAAGAAAAGCAGCAGGUUAAUACCCCGCUGUUCUGACGGUACCCAAAGAAUAAGCACCGGCUAACUUCGUG